Long non-coding RNA from Gallus gallus (chicken), 405 nucleotides. Lineage: Eukaryota; Metazoa; Chordata; Aves; Galliformes; Phasianidae. The record is from Ensembl.
GAACAUCUCCUGUAUGAGAGCUGCUUCCUGAUAAGGAAUGUUUUGUACCUAGAAGCCCUGUUACUAGCUGGCAUCACUUUUUGUGGUUUGCACAGUUUGGAGCAUGGAUGUUUUAUUUCACAGAAUAAUUGAAUUCACCGGGUAAAAUUUGUGGUUAAUAUAGUUGUGAAUUAUUCCAGGAGCACUAGACACUGGUCAUCUCAUCUAUGUACAGUAUUUCUGAUAGGUUCUGUUGACCUUGCAACAUCCUCAAAAGGCUCUCCUCUAAAUUCCCAUGAAGAUGGCCAAGCAUGCUUGUCUGAACCACUGGACAAACCAGAGGAGUCUCUGACAGAGCUUUGUCUUUAAAUAGCAAAUUGAAUUAUGUGUAAAUAUAAGAAAAAGGAAUAACGCUCAUAUCGUGAG